CUUAGAAUCCCUACCAAAAAAGAGAUCUCAACGUUUGUUCCUUAUGUAUGACCAUUUGAUCUUGGUAAUACCUAGGCAUUCACUGAUAAGUAUUCCAUGUAUUUGCUUUUUGAUUUAAUUCAAUAAAAAAAAAUACUACAUGUUUUUUAUUUUAAAGUUCAAGAAAAAUUAAAUAACAUGUCUAUUAUUUUUUUAAAUAAUAAAAUAAAGUGUUAAAAUAUUAUCAGAAAAAAUAAGAAAUUGACUCAAUAUUAAAUUUUGAAAAGGAUGUUCAGGUCUAGAUUUAUUAUUAUGUCGGUUUGUUUGCGUGCUUUCCUUUAGUCUCGUUUUCAACGAAUAAAAAGAAAAGAAAAGGGUGUCUUCAGCAAAUUAUAGAGUGCUAGUAAAACUGCAUUUUAAGUGAUCUUUGAAAUUGGACGUUUCCACUAAAACAUCUUUUAAAGUUUUGAAUCACUAAAUAAAAUCCAAAUUGCAGGGUGUUAGUAAGAUUGUCUUUUAAGUUGGUUGUCAUAUUCCAACUGAUUUUUAGUUUUGAAUCCUCUUUGGUGCUAUUCUCUUAUUGCAAAGUCAACAGAUUUUAUCCCUAAAAUAUUUGUUCAUUUGAAGUGUUUUUGUAUUUUAGUGUAAUGUCUGAACUGAUUCAUAUGUUUAUUAACAUUGCACUUGAAUUGUAAGUGAUGAACCGUUCAUGUCAUAUAACCUAUUGCAUUUUAAGUUCAAACAUGUCCCAUCUUUCAGUUUAGAUUGAAUAUAUCAUAUUUUUAUUGAGCAUUAAAAAAUCAAUUUGAAUUGUACGUAAAACGGCCUUCUAGAGAGAGAGAGACGUUGCAGUUGGUAACUUAAGGUAGGUUUAGGAACCCCUUGCCUACAAAUAUACAAAUAGUAGGAUUAGACGUGCAAAACAUGCUUAAAAUUUGAAAAUAUUGUAAAUAGUUGCUGUGACAAAUCUGGCCCCAUUCUCCUCGGUAUAAAUGCGUGUAAACGAAAAAUGGAAUGAUUAAGUGAUAAGUAAGUAGAUUAGGAACUAAGGUAAAUUAUUAGUUAUUUAUGAAUAAAAAUUUCAUAUUUUAUAUUUCUAGAUUCCAAUAGAGACUCAAGUAGUUAGCAUUGGUUGAUCGAACGAGAGACUUCCAUGCUUUAGAACGGGGAUUUUAAACCCAUGAGAUACAGUAAUUUUAUUUUGAUAAUCAAGAACAAGUUUUGAGAAAAAGAUUUCAUUCGCAUUUCCCAAGUAUCAAAAGUACGUUCCAAGCAUUGUUCAUCGCUUAAUCUACUAUUUUAGUUUUUAUUCAAAUGUUCAUAGU
RNAcentral lists this long non-coding RNA (1304 nucleotides) under Malus domestica (apple). RNAcentral describes it as "long non-coding RNA (MDOM_LNC003157)". Lineage: Eukaryota; Viridiplantae; Streptophyta; Magnoliopsida; Rosales; Rosaceae. The record is from RNAcentral.